This 440-nucleotide ribosomal RNA is filed under the name uncultured bacterium. RNAcentral's name for it is "partial 16S ribosomal RNA". It matches the Rfam family "Bacterial small subunit ribosomal RNA", at positions 338 to 795 of the family's 1533-position model. The record is from RNAcentral.
CCUACGGGUGGCAGCAGUGGGGAAUAUUGCACAAUGGGGGAAACCCUGAUGCAGCGACGCCGCGUGAGUGAAGAAGUAAUUCGUUAUGUAAAGCUCUAUCAGCAGGGAAGAAAAUGACGGUACCUGAGUAAGAAGCCCCGGCUAACUACGUGCCAGCAGCCGCGGUAAUACGUAGGGGGCAAGCGUGAUCCGGAUUUACUGGGUGGAAAGGGAGCGUAGACGGAAGUGAAAGUCUGGAGUGAAAGGCGGGGGCUCAACCCCCGGACUGCUCUGGAAACUGUACGGCUGGAGUGCAGGAGAGGUAAGUGGAAUUCCUAGGGUAGCGGUGAAAUGCGUAGAUAUUAGGAGGAACACCAGUGGCGAAGGCGGCUUACUGGACUGUAACUGACGUUGAGGCUCGAAAGCGUGGGGAGCAAACAGGAUUAGAUACCCGGGUAGUC